RNAcentral lists this ribosomal RNA (434 nucleotides) under Paenibacillus sp. C14. Its description in RNAcentral is "bacterial SSU rRNA". It matches the Rfam family "Bacterial small subunit ribosomal RNA", at positions 958 to 1392 of the family's 1533-position model. Lineage: Bacteria; Bacillati; Bacillota; Bacilli; Caryophanales; Paenibacillaceae. The record is from RNAcentral.
AACGCGAAGAACCUUACCAGGUCUUGACAUCCCUCUGAUCGGUACAGAGAUGUAUCUUUCCUUCGGGACAGAGGAGACAGGUGGUGCAUGGUUGUCGUCAGCUCGUGUCGUGAGAUGUUGGGUUAAGUCCCGCAACGAGCGCAACCCUUGAUCUUAGUUGCCAGCACUUCGGGUGGGCACUCUAAGGUGACUGCCGGUGACAAACCGGAGGAAGGUGGGGAUGACGUCAAAUCAUCAUGCCCCUUAUGACCUGGGCUACACACGUACUACAAUGGCCGGUACAACGGGCUGUGAAGCCGCGAGGUGGAACGAAUCCUAAAAAGCCGGUCUCAGUUCGGAUUGCAGGCUGCAACUCGCCUGCAUGAAGUCGGAAUUGCUAGUAAUCGCGGAUCAGCAUGCCGCGGUGAAUACGUUCCCGGGCCUUGUACACACCG